RNAcentral lists this ribosomal RNA (498 nucleotides) under uncultured bacterium. RNAcentral describes it as "bacterial SSU rRNA". It matches the Rfam family "Bacterial small subunit ribosomal RNA", at positions 30 to 504 of the family's 1533-position model. The record is from RNAcentral.
UGAACGCUGGCGGCGUGCCUAACACAUGCAAGUUGAGCGGUAAGGCCCCUUCGGGGGUACACGAGCAGCGAACGGGUGAGUAUCGCGUGGGUAAUCUACCUUGAGGUGGGGGAUAGCCUCGGGAAACCGAGGGUAAUACCGCAUACGUCCUUAACGUCAUAAGGCGACGAGGGGAAAGGCGGGGCUCCUUCGGGACCUGUCGCCUCUGGAUGAGCCCGCGUCCGAUUAGCUUGUUGGUGAGGUAAUGGCUCACCAAGGCUUCGAUCGGUAGCCGGCCUGAGAGGGUGAACGGCCACAUUGGGACUGAGACACGGCCCAGACUCCUACGGGAGGCAGCAGUGGGGAAUUUUGGGCAAUGGGGGAAACCCUGACCCAGCGACGCCGCGUGGAGGAUGACGGCCUUCGGGUUGUAAACUCCUGUCAGGUGGGAAGAAAAGCUUGUCGGUUAAUACCCGGCAGGAAUUGACGGUACCACCAAAGGAAGCCCCGGCUAACUCC